GCCUUCGUGGUGUAACGGUUAGCACAUUCGGCGCGUGCUCGAGAGGUCCAGGUUCAAGUCCCGGCAAGGGCA
RNAcentral lists this transfer RNA (72 nucleotides) under Stegodyphus mimosarum. It matches the Rfam family "tRNA". From Rfam's summary of the family: Transfer RNA (tRNA) molecules are approximately 80 nucleotides in length. Their secondary structure includes four short double-helical elements and three loops (D, anti-codon, and T loops). Further hydrogen bonds mediate the characteristic L-shaped molecular structure. tRNAs have two regions of fundamental functional importance: the anti-codon, which is responsible for specific mRNA codon recognition, and the 3' end, to which the tRNAs corresponding amino acid is attached (by aminoacyl-tRNA synthetases). tRNAs cope with the degeneracy of the genetic code in two manners: having more than one tRNA (with a specific anti-codon) for a particular amino acid; and 'wobble' base-pairing, i.e. permitting non-standard base-pairing at the 3rd anti-codon position. Lineage: Eukaryota; Metazoa; Arthropoda; Arachnida; Araneae; Eresidae. The record is from Rfam by way of RNAcentral.